This is a non-coding RNA of Vicia faba (fava bean), 225 nucleotides long. Lineage: Eukaryota; Viridiplantae; Streptophyta; Magnoliopsida; Fabales; Fabaceae. The record is from the annotation of a GenBank genome assembly.
AUGCCAAUGAUGCAAAUCUACAACUGUAUAUCUAAAAAAUCAGUGAUAAUUACCAUAGGCGGGUUAUAUUUAGUGUUUCUUCUCGGAAAAUUCAUUAACGAUAAAAACAAAACACAAGCUGAAAGAAGUAGAAUAAGAAAACCAGGUGGCACAGGUGUAGGAGGAGGAGGACGUGAUCCAGGUAUCCAAGAAAUUGUAUUUAGUCAUGGUUAUAUAGAGUAUUGA